Astatotilapia calliptera (eastern happy) is the source of this 1398-nucleotide long non-coding RNA. NCBI's taxonomy places the organism in Eukaryota, Metazoa, Chordata, Actinopteri, Cichliformes, Cichlidae. The record is from Ensembl.
CUGCAUUCCUGUCUGACACACCUAGAAGCUGCUGGUAAUCAGCUCACCUCUGUGCAACUGAUUCCUUUACAGCUGACGAAAUCCCUCACUUCUGGGAAAAGGAGUGUAACCUGGAACAUUAAGGGAGACAUGGAGCAAACAUGAGGAGACAGGCUGAGGAGACAAGGAUGAAACACAAGGAGAGGAACAAAGGAACAGGAACCAGAAUCGAUGGACUGGACUGCUUACGGUGAACAACCAGUUCCUGGCCGUGCUGCUGGACCAUCUGUCUCCUCCAUGGAUGACGACGUCACCCCAAUGGAGAUAGACUAAAAGGUUCAGCAUACCAAAAGAAAAUUCUGUGAUCACCCACUUGUAUUCUGUGGUCUUCCAGGCCUUUGGGUGUUACUGACUGGUGAAAGAAGAGGAUGACAAUCAUAACAUUUCUGCUUGGGCAAUUACAGUUGAUCCUGCAACAAUUUGGUUUUUGUUUUUUUUUUUAGAUAAUUUUGUAAAUUUCAUUUCUCAAACCCUAAGCUGCUGUAAUCAAGUGUUACUAUAAAAGCAAGUAGAAGUCAAUUUUUUUUAAUGCAGCAGCUAAUUUCUUCCUGUUGGCUUUAAAGCGGGUUGACGGACCUUUUUUCACAAGAAUAUAUCUUGAAAAGUACUUGAUAUAUGAAACUAAAAUUACAUAGUACAUAUUACAUAUACAUAUUACAUACAUAUAAAAUUACAUAGUACAUAUUACAUAUUUUGUACAAAUUUUAAAGACAUUACACAGAUUUGGGACCAAUCAGGAAAAAUAAUCUCUAACCCAGCUCAAAUUAAUUAUGUUUUUUAUGCUAUUUUAUAAACCCCUUUAUAAAUCUGAAUCACAGUAGUAAAACUCAAAUAAAAUACUUUUCUUUUGGGAACUUAAGCUUACCAAGGGUAGGCCAAUGGUAAUAAAAAAUUAGAUGCUCCAAUAUAUAUGUCCAAACUGAACCAUAAUAUGUCUAUUGCAAAUUGGAGAAUGUUCUAGAAAUUUAAAUAGAUUAUUAUUUUUAUUCUAAUUUGAGUACAGUUUUUGAGAUGUUCAUUUUCAAGCAUUGCCAUAUAUAGCAUCUGAUAUGCAUUUUUUCCCCUUUUUUUGUGACAAGUAUUCUAUAUGGUUUAUUUUUUGGUAUUGUAAAAUUCAACUACAUAUCAUUCAGAAAUUAAAUUGCUGUGAACAAACAUUGGACUUUUUUUUCAUAUUUUAACUAGCCAAAACUUGAUGGUAAAAAACAACAAGAGAAAAUACAGACUUUUAUCUUUAAUGGAGUUUGAAAUAUUUAUGUUCAAAUACUGAACAUUGAUGUGUUCUUAAAGAAGACCUGAAAGUGGGUCAGUGGAAAGUUUUUCCAAAAAAAUAAAACUGAUAUGAUAUUAUUGAUGCGA